This is a long non-coding RNA of Mus musculus (house mouse), 3208 nucleotides long. RefSeq annotates it as predicted gene, 53923. The record is from RefSeq and is a predicted model, not a curated record. Lineage: Eukaryota; Metazoa; Chordata; Mammalia; Rodentia; Muridae. The transcript is spliced from 3 exons.
GGACACAGCUCGCUCCUUCUCCUGGGAUUUCCGGAGGAGCUGUCGAAGGUUCUUCACCUCAUUCUGGUGCUUGGCUGUGAUUUGAGGUGUCUGGAGAUGAACUGUAUGUUGCAUGGGGAGCACUCGUCACUGUGGGACUCAUGAAGUUUCCAAGUGCCAUGCUUGCCUGCCUGCCUGCCUGCCAUGCCUGCCGUGCCUGUCAUGCCUGCCUGCUGCGCCUGCCCUGCCCUGCCUGCCUGCCUGGCUGGCAUGCCUGCUGUGCCUGCCUGCCUUGCCUGCCUGCCUGCCUGUCAUGCCUGCUGUGCCUGCCUGCCUGCCAUGCCUGCCUGCUGUGCCUGCCCUGCCUGCCUGCCUGCUUGCCUGCCUGCCUGCUGUAGUGCUCCUCACCCUGGUGGUCAUGGGUUCUAACUCACUGCAACUCUAAGCCCCCAAAUUAAAUGCUUCCUUUUAUAAGUUGCCUUGGUCACAGUGUCUUUACAUAGCAAUAGAAAAAUAACUAAAACACUGUGCUUGUGUGCACUAUAGAUUACUGUAUACAUCAUAUACUACUGAGGUCUUUUUUUUUUCUUCCAAACAGUAGUCGGCUACUGGCAGUUGUAGUUAUUCAUAUUUUAAAAAUUUAUGAUGUGUAUGGGUGUUUUGCAUGCAUCAUGUGUGAGCAUGAUGCCUUCAGAGGGUGUGGAAUCCUCUGAAACUGGAGUUACAGGUGGCUGUGAACUACCAUGUAAGUGCUGGGAAUUGAACCUGGGUCCUCUUCUAGAGCAGCCAGUGCUCCUAACCAUCCUAGUACCCACUGCAAUUAUUCUUAAUCUACAACUUGACUGUUUUUGUUUGUUUGUUUGUUUUGUUUUUUCAAGACAGGGUUUCUCUGUGUAGCCCUGGCUAUUCUAAAACUGCCUCUGUAGACUAGGCUGGCCUCAGACUCAGAGAUCCAUCUGCCCUGCCUUUGCCUCCUGAGUGCUGUUGAUUACAGGCAUGGGUUGGGGCAUGACUGGGGAGGGAGCUUCUAGGUUAGGUUCACUGAGGUGGCAAGAGCCAGCCUAGCUGUCGGCGGUACCGUCUUACAGGCUAGGGUUUGGGGUGGAUAAGGAGAGCACCUCAGGUCAUUUCUCUCUGCUGCCUGGUUGUAUGGGCCAUGACCAGAAGCCUCAUGUCCCUCACUGCUGCACGCCUUCCCCAGUAAGGACCAUCAAACUGGGAGCCAGAACAAACCUAUCUUCUCUUAAGCUGCUUUUGUUAGGAACACUGCAUUGCCUGGGAAGAGCUUGGCUGUGAUCGUCAGACAGCUGUGUUGAAGUGAGAUGUGAACGAGUUGUGUUUUAGCUGCCUGUUCUUGUUUCCUGGUGUUCCACGAAAAUAAAGUGGCAUUGCAUCAUGUGUUACUAUAAAUGAGUGUCAAAAGGAAGGGUCUCUAGGCAGACGGGCCGACUCUUGGUCUUACUUAGAUCUAAGCAGUGGCAUUGACUAUUUUACACAUGGUUCUCAGUUGGUCUCACGAUGUAAAAUAUUUCUCAUUAUUGGUUUUACAAUCAUAGCCCCUCCCCUGCUCCCCAGUGCUUAUGAUUCACCCAUGACCCAGUGAGAAAAGUUCUAGUACUGCACACUGAAGUUAUAACUAAUCCACAUAUAUACUUUAAAUGGUAAUGACUGGGUACGGUGAGGUGAGUGUAUUGCCUGUCCUGCCUGCAGGACUUGAAUGCUUUUUCUGCAGACUCCUGUACCAUAUGCCUUAGCAGGUGAGCUCAGGAGGAGCUCUGUUCUAGAUUCUAUGCAGGGAAGUGGGUUAGUGCUCAGCAUGCCUGGCUCAGCCUGCUGUGCUCAGCUCCCACAGCUAUGGUGGGAAAUACCAUCUCAGCGCAUUUCACUCCCGGGGAGAUUCCCUUCUUACUGCUUUCCUCCUGAGCACUGACCGCUCAGGAGCAUGUUGAGUGCUCAGACGUUACUCAUUUAGCUUGUAUGUUACUAUAUGUUUCACUAUGGCUGACAUGAUGAUGACUCUGUCUAAUAUUGUACCUUCAGAGUCCUGAAAAAUUCCUAGGGAUACUGAGUGCUCACUAAAUAUGAUCCAAAUAAGUUUCUUUUCAGAAGUUUCUGUGCUACCUUAAUUUCUGUAUGCAUGUCCAUUACUGUCGUGUUCUGACAAAACUUUUUACUACUGCUAAGCCCAGCUGAAAAUGUUCUCAGAGAACUCUUCCCCAGCAUGGAAAACAAACAAACAUCAUGUAAUGCUGAAGUAUCAAGCUGCUACGAGGAUAGAGAUAAAGAUACCGUCUGCCAGUAACUAAUAUUGUUCUUCAGGCAUUAGCCAGUGGAACCAGACAUGAGGAACAGGCUGGAGAGAAAGUUCUGCCAUUAAAGGCAAGGCUCACAACCAAAUCAUUGCACACAAGAAGAAAACCAAAGAUACUAAUGUUGGAAAAUGACAGGUAACUUACUGAUUAACUGCAGAAAAUACAAGUGUAUCCUUAGAAAACUUCAUAAGACACUAAGAAAGAUGGGGCUGUGGCAAUGGCUUAGUCGUACAAUGACUGUCACAGGAGCGUGAGAACCCGGGCUCUGAUUCCCAGUAAUCGUGUAAAAGGCUGGCCCUAUGGCUCACAAGAGGCAGGGGGAUCCGUGGGGCUUGGUGGCUAGACAGUCCAGCUGAGUUGGUGAGUCUAGCUGUUCAUGGAACAUCCUCUCUUAAAAAUUAAGGUGAUGAUGGGGCUGGAGAGGUGUUCACUGGCUAAGAGCAGUUGCUACUCUUGCCAAGGACUGGAGUCUAGGCUCAUAACUUCUUGUACUCCAGUUCCAGGGAUCUGAUAUCCUGUUUUGGUUUCCAUGAGUACCUGCGUUCAAAUGCACAUACCAAUGCACAUACAACUCAAAAAUAGAAAUUCCUUAAAAAUAAUCUGGCCCCCACACACAUGCACAUCCACAUGUAUCUGAAUAUGCACACAUGCACAGUCCCCCAAAAGAGCAUUAAAUAAAAGUAUAGGGUAUGAAAUGGAUAUAAAAUCCUUUCUACAUGUAAACUAAGAUGACCUAGAAAAUAGAUAUCUAUUUUCUAUGAAGAAAAUUUUAAGUCACUAAAAGAUUUAUAUAAACAUUUUGUUCUUACAUCAUAAUGACAAAGAUUCUAAAGGUGUAGCGGCCCCUAAUGUGAUUAACAUAAUCAAGGCAAAGCAUCAAGGCUACCUUUUGGGAACUGGACAAAAAUGAUACAAAA